GCAUAUCAAUAAGCGGAGGAAAAGAAACUAACAAGGAUUCCCCUAGUAACUGCGAGUGAAGCGGGAAAAGCUCAAAUUUAAAAUCUGGCAGUCUCUGGCUGUCCGAGUUGUAAUCUAGAGAAGUGUUAUCCGCGCUGGACCAUGUACAAGUCUCCUGGAACGGAGCGUCAUAGAGGGUGAGAAUCCCGUCUUUGACAUGGACUACCAGGGCUUUGUGAUGCGCUCUCAAAGAGUCGAGUUGUUUGGGAAUGCAGCUCAAAAUGGGUGGUAAAUUCCAUCUAAAGCUAAAUAUUGGCGAGAGACCGAUAGCGAACAAGUACCGUGAGGGAAAGAUGAAAAGAACUUUGGAAAGAGAGUUAAACAGUACGUGAAAUUGUUGAAAGGGAAACGCUUGAAGUCAGUCGCAUUGGCCAGGGAUCAACCUUACAUUUGUUGGGUGUACUUUCUGGUCAAUGGGUCAGCAUCAAUUUUGACUGUUGGAAAAAGGUCAGGGGAAUGUGGCAUCUUCGGAUGUGUUAUAGCCCUUGGUUGUAUACAGCAGUUGGGAUUGAGGAACUCAGCACGCCGCAAGGCCGGGUUUUUAACCACGUACGUGCUUAGGAUGCUGGCAUAAUGGCUUUAAUCGACCCGUCUUGAAACACGGACCAAGGAGUCUAACAUGCCUGCGAGUGUUUGGGUGGAAAACCCAUGCGCGUAAUGAAAGUGAAAGUUGAGAUCUCUGUCGUGGAGAGCAUCGACGCCCGGACCAGACCUUUUGUGACGGUCCCGCGGUAGAGCAUGUAUGUUGGGACCCGAAAGAUGGUGAAACUAUGCCUGAAUAGGGUGAAGCCAGAGGAAACUCUGGUGGAGGCUCGUAGCGAUUCUGACGUGCAAAUCGAUCGUCGAAUUUGGGUAUAGGGGGCGAAAGACUAAUCGAACCAUCUAGUAGCUGGUUCCUGCCGAA
Molecule: ribosomal RNA, 943 nt
Filed under: Melanoleuca grammopodia
Lineage: Eukaryota; Fungi; Basidiomycota; Agaricomycetes; Agaricales; Pluteaceae
Description: LSU rRNA
Rfam family: Eukaryotic large subunit ribosomal RNA
Source: RNAcentral